This 377-nucleotide unclassified non-coding RNA is filed under the name uncultured Gammaproteobacteria bacterium. RNAcentral describes it as "contains 16S-23S intergenic spacer region". The record is from RNAcentral. Lineage: Bacteria; Pseudomonadati; Pseudomonadota; Gammaproteobacteria.
UCUCGGCUUAUCACCGGCAGUCCCCCUAGAGUGCCCAACUGAAUGAUGGCAACUAAGGGCGAGGGUUGCGCUCGUUGCGGGACUUAACCCAACAUCUCACGACACGAGCUGACGACAGCCAUGCAGCACCUCUAUGACGGUCCCCGAAGGGAAGGCCCUAUUUCUAGGGUUGUCCACCACAGUUCAAGCCCAGGUAAGGUUCUGCGCGCUGCAUCGAAUUAAUCCACAUAAUCCACCGCUUGUGCGGGUCCCCGUCAAUUCCUUUGAGUUUUAACCUUGCGGCCGUACUCCCCAGGCGGUCAACUUCACGCGUUAGCUUCGUUACCAAGGAAUUGCUUCCCCGACAACCAGUUGACAUAGUUUAGGGCGUGGACUAC